This 380-nucleotide ribosomal RNA is filed under the name uncultured eukaryote. RNAcentral's name for it is "partial 18S ribosomal RNA". It matches the Rfam family "Eukaryotic small subunit ribosomal RNA", at positions 592 to 976 of the family's 1831-position model. The record is from RNAcentral.
CAAUAGCGUAUAUUAAAGUUGUUGCAGUUAAAAAGCUCGUAGUUGGAUUUGUGGCUGCCACGGGCGGCCUAUCACUUAGUGUUAGUGCUUGCCUGUGUCGCCAUCCUUGGGUGGAGCCCGUGUGGCAUUAGGUUGUCGUGCGGGGGAUGCCCAUCGUUUACUGUGAGAAAAUUAGAGUGUUCAAAGCAGGCUUAUGCCAUUGAAUAUGUUAGCAUGGAAUAAUAAGAUAGGACCUCGGUACUAUUUUGUUGGUUUGCGCACCGAGGUAAUGAUUAAUAGGGACAGUUGGGGGUAUUCGUAUUUCAUUGUCAGAGGUGAAAUUCUUGGAUUUCUGAAAGACGAACUACUGCGAAAGCAUUUACCAAGGAUGUUUUCAUUAA